CCCUUAGAUGUCCUGGGCCGCACGCGCGUUACACUGAUGCAUUCAACGAGCUUAUAACCUUGGCCGAGAGGCCUGGGCAAUCUUGUUAACGUGCAUCGGGAUAGGGAUAGAUUAUUGAAAUUAUUAAUCUUGAACGAGGAAUUCCUAGUAAACGCAGAUCAUCAAUCUGCAUUGAUUACGUCCCUGCCCUUUGUACACACCGCCCGUCGCACCUACCGAUUGGAUGGUCCGGUGAAGCCUCGGGAUUGUGGUUCUUGCCGCUUUAUUGUGGCAUGACCGCGAGAACUUGUCUAAACCUUAUCAUCUAGAGGAAGGUGAAGUCGUAACA
Molecule: ribosomal RNA, 328 nt
Filed under: uncultured eukaryote
Lineage: Eukaryota
Description: partial 18S ribosomal RNA
Rfam family: Eukaryotic small subunit ribosomal RNA
Source: RNAcentral